AGUCCCGGCACUGAGGCUACUGCGUGUAUUUCGAAUAGAGAGAGCGGGUCUCCGUAUGUCUCUGUGUGUGGCGUGCGUUCCACCUCCACCAGCAUGGACCCAGAAGUAGCGUGACCAGUGUGCGCCUCGACGUACCUUUCGUAAUAGAUUACGUCAUCAGGAAGCGUCACUGGUCACGCAUAGGAAAGGUUUGCCUUGCUUACCUUUUCCCAGCUCUGGACACCAACCAUAUUGAAGCUGGAAGCACUUCAUAUACCUACAUGGAGACAGUCGUUCAAUUGGUCGCAGCCAUCAUCCAUUCGGUCAACCACUCACCUGUUCAUCUGGAUUUCCUUCCUUGGUGACAAUCUGUCAUUGACCAGGUUAAGGCAAUCUUCUGCUAUCCAUUGGGAUGUGCCUUGUAAAUAACUGAAGCUAAGAUGUUACUGCAGCAAUUUCAGCCCAUGUUACAGUACCCCUCCCUACCACCUUGCAAUUUUUAUAAUCAAGUGUUUGUUGCAGUCGUGCUAUUAGGGAUGGUAAAAAAAAGUGUAAAGCUUAAGGGACGAGUUGUAGUUAUUUGGUCCUUUAAAUGUUGGGCCUGUCCUGCUAUACUGUAUCUGGGCCAACAUUUGGUGGUUAUAAUAUGAUGCAGUUAUAAACAAAGUGGGUAACCCCAUAAUAAACAACAUUUGGUUCAAUCUA
Molecule: long non-coding RNA, 684 nt
Organism: Rana temporaria (common frog)
Lineage: Eukaryota; Metazoa; Chordata; Amphibia; Anura; Ranidae
Exons: 2
Source: RefSeq, a predicted model, not a curated record